Molecule: long non-coding RNA, 385 nt
Organism: Solanum tuberosum (potato)
Lineage: Eukaryota; Viridiplantae; Streptophyta; Magnoliopsida; Solanales; Solanaceae
Exons: 2
Source: RefSeq, a predicted model, not a curated record
UUUUCAGAAACCUUCAAAAAUAUAAAUAUAAUGUUCGAAAUAAGGCACAUGUUGAAGGAUGCAUAUGCAAUGAGUAUAUAUUUGAUGAAGGUUCAUCCUUCUGUUCACACUACUUCGAGCCUCAUGUUUACACAAGGCAUAGAAAAGUGCCACGAAAUGACGAUGGUGGCAUAGGCGAACAAGAUAGAUACAAUGGUAAUCUUUCUAUAUUCACCUAUCCAGGUCGAGGAUUUGGGGAACUAAAUAGGAGAUAUCUAACCGAAGAAGAACUCAAAGCAGCUCAUAUUUAUAUUUUACUAAAUUGCAGAGAAGUGCAACCAUAUGUGGAGAAAUUUAUUGACUCCCUUCAUCAAAAUUUUCCACGAAUUACGGAGCAGGAAGUGGA